This 1154-nucleotide unclassified non-coding RNA is filed under the name Hevea brasiliensis (rubber tree). Lineage: Eukaryota; Viridiplantae; Streptophyta; Magnoliopsida; Malpighiales; Euphorbiaceae. The record is from RNAcentral.
CUCAUCUUUAAGCAUGCUUCCAAUUAGAUCAGAUUAGAAGACCCAGUUUCCUAGAUAACAAACUUCAUUAACAAUAUAAAACUUUAUUUCUUAUUUACCAACUAAUUUGCCCAGGCUGAAAGCUUUACACAAAUAGUAAAAUGCACACACCUUACAUACAUAAAACUAUUAGGGGUCCAUGUCCUGUUAACUAGACACACAGAACAUGCUCACCCCAGCCAAGUAUACUAAAGCUUAGGGCAUAUCAAAAUAAAUAAUUAGUCUCCAGUGUUUCCAAUUUUGGGGGGAGGCAGUUUAGCCAUAGCAUCUAAUUGGAUCAUUGCAGCUUUUCGCAGCAGAUUGCUUAAAUCCAAAACGACCCCCUUUGGCAAGGUAUUGUUGGUGGUAUUCUUCAGCUCGAUAAAACUUCUUGGCAGGUAAAAUCUCAGUGACUAUCUUUCGGUUCAAGAGCUUCUGCUGUUGUUCCAAAGUCUCUCGAGCUGCCUUUUCCUGCUCUUGGGUGUAAUAGUAUAUUCCGGAUCUAUAUUGUGUUCCCACAUCAUUUCCCUGGCGAUUCAUGGUAGUAGGAUCAUGCCUAGCCCAGAAAACAUUGAGAAGAGUCUCAUAGCUACACUCUUUAGGAUCAUACUGCACUCUGACCACCUCAUUAUGGUUGGUAGUCCCGGUACAUACAUCCUCAUAAGUGGGAUUAUGCAAGAGGCCCUGACUGUAACCCACCUCGGUCUUGGUGACGCCUGGAACUCUCUGGAAGGCCAAUUCAACCCCCCAGAAACAGCCAGCUCCAAACUGCACGAACUGCUGACCAGCGGCUGGCAGGUCGUCGUCCGGGCUCUGAGGGAUUGUUGGGUCGAUGGUAGAUGGGUCAGAGGACCUAGCGCCAAAACCGAGUUUGUUGAGGAUAUUCAUUGGGGCCCGGUAAUAGGAGAUAGGCCUGGAGUUCUGAGGGGAAGUAAUAGGUUUAGAAGAAGAAAAUUGAAGCUUUUUGGAGAGACAUAUGAAGGGUUUGGAAAGAGAGGAGGAGACGAGGAGGAGGAGCCGCGAGCUGGCGGUGGUGGAGGAGGUUGCUAGAUUGUGGAUCAUUUUCAUUCUUUUGUGCCUGUUUUGCCUGUUUUUGUGACGUGUUCAGGUAUUUUACUCUAGAAUUUGCGUUUCAU